Molecule: non-coding RNA, 107 nt
Organism: Gossypium hirsutum (cotton)
Lineage: Eukaryota; Viridiplantae; Streptophyta; Magnoliopsida; Malvales; Malvaceae
Source: Rfam
AACCUAUGGUGAGGGCAUCUUCGCAAAAGGUCCUUAUAUCUCUCCCACACAUCGUAAAGUAUUUCUAAACCCAUUUGUACAAAAGAAGAUAUAUCAUUACAUAAUUU